AUUAUCAACUUUCACAGUUACGUUGUACGGUAUUUGCAUCGCUUUAAGGAAUGGUCUUAAUAAUGGUUAAUAUAAAUCACACAUGAUAACACGAGAUAAGACAGACCGUACAAUGUAUGUUGUUGUUUGAACAUGUAGUUAUGCUAUUAAUAGGAAAAGUAAAUAACACUUAAACGUCUAUUCGUAGCAUUCACGAUAACAAGCGGGGAAAUCCAUGUAAACGGAAACUUGGAAUUGAUCAGUGUUAACAUAGGUGCAUCUAAACAAUUUAUGUGAAGAAAACAUUUUAAAUUAGUGAAGCCUUUCUCAAAUAAGGGAUCUGGAGGUCCAGAAACCGUUCCAAAAAUAGCCACACACGGACCACGACCACCAGCUGGGCAUCCUGGAAGUGGUCCAAUUAAGUCCCCUCCACGACCACCACCACCACCUCCGCCUAAGGGACCAUGUUUGACAAAAUAACUUGUUUUUACGAAAAUGAUGUUAAUCGAUUUCCACGGUAUUUGGGAAAAUGGAAAACGUCGAAUAUUUACGUUUUAAUAAACAUUUAAAUUAAAUCGUAGGAUGAAUGUUACUUUUUCACUCUCAAUAUAUAUUUUUGAUUGUCUAAAGCGUAUUAAAUAA
Molecule: long non-coding RNA, 621 nt
Organism: Saccostrea cuccullata (small rock oyster)
Lineage: Eukaryota; Metazoa; Mollusca; Bivalvia; Ostreida; Ostreidae
Exons: 3
Source: RefSeq, a predicted model, not a curated record